GCACUGACAACCAUAUAAACAUUUGAUGCUAUCUAGAUAGUCCGCUUGCUGACGAUUAUGUAAUAUUGGUAAAAUGCACGCUAUUUUCGCCAUGUAUAAACCUAGGCCUAAUACGCUUCAAAUGAUUAAUUCAUGUAAAUAUAUAAAUCUCGGGAAUUUGUGUAUCAAAAUUAUUUCCGAACUUCCCAGUGGUAAACACGACAUCAGAGAGCGUUCGUGUGCAAUUUUACCUCGGAAACUCGUAUUUACGAUAAUUCCGAGAGCACGUGAAGGCUUCACCAGCUAAUUGCUCUUCUACAGGGACGCCAUAGAAACAAACAGAGCUAACGGAAGUUCAAAGACAAAAUUCAAAUGUGGCUACAAGCUAGUUUUUCUGGCGAAUAAGAAAUCGCUGUUUAAGGACUACAACAAAUGGCUGGUAGGGACUACAACGAGCUUCUUCCCAGGCUGUGAAUUUAAUGCACUCUAGCCAGAGGGCAACUUUGUCCAUCACAGACAUUUCUUUACAUCGCACCUGGUUCCAACUCACCAGCUAAUCUGAACAUAAUUGUCAACUUUCUUCAGGCCACGCAUGACUUCCUCCCUAAAACAAUCCAUCCACACGUGCCAUCUCUCCACCUCCACCUGUUUCAGCUCAGCUCACUCCAUCAGCACUUCUCUUUACACAAGAUUGAUGGAUACACGGCUUGGUCUCCACAGGGGUCAAUGGACAAAUAGUGGCUUUCAUCUCAACAAUCCUAUCCGUUGCUAAAUGCCUGUCAGAAGCUGUUUGGUGUCCUGCAGCGUAGAGUUGAGAAGAUGCUUCAUUACCCGCUAUAGAUCGAGCUGCUGGACAACAACAGUCUGGGGAGAAACCGGGACCUCUCUACCUGUCUUGUAAAUUGAGAGACUGUGUAUCUUGACCUGACUGAAAGGUUGAAGAAAUCUCUCCAGACACAUACGCACCUGUCACCAGUGGACCGCUGAGCGAGAAGACUACGGUCCAGAAGGAAUCAUGUUCGGUUUGUUGCGUUCUCUGGCAUCACCUGAAAUUAAACUCGACAUCUUACACACAAGUAACCCAAGACGUUUACCUGACCUUCAACCCCAGAACAAAUCCAUCAAGCCUGUCUACUGCUUAGAUCCAAUAUUUCGAUACACCAAAAGACAUGCAAAAUUUAAAGUGCCAUUCGAGGUUGACUGUGGAGAAAAUGUAACUGACAGAUGCUUGAGAAAAGUUGAAAGCUUUGAGAAGAUGCUAAUUGUUAACAUGACAACUGUAAUCAUUUAUUAACCUUUGUGGUGAAUUUUUAAAUGGUAAGAUAAAAUUUCAAUAUUUAACACAUUUUAACCCAUAUAAUCAAUACAUGGGUUGAGAAAUGGUCUUCUGAGUGUGAUCUUCUAGUGUGUUUUCAUUAUCACGGUUGAGAUAUAUG
This is a long non-coding RNA of Megalobrama amblycephala (Wuchang bream), 1415 nucleotides long. RefSeq lists it as uncharacterized. The transcript is spliced from 7 exons. The record is from RefSeq and is a predicted model, not a curated record. NCBI's taxonomy places the organism in Eukaryota, Metazoa, Chordata, Actinopteri, Cypriniformes, Xenocyprididae.